UUGUUAGUUUUUAUGGGCAUUCGGUGGAUGCCUUGGUACCAGGAGCCGAUGAAGGACGUGUUGGUCUGCGAUAAGCCUCGGGGAGUUGACGAAUGAGCGUUGAUCCGGGGGUGUCCGAAUGGGGAAACCUGGCUGGAGUAGUGUCCAGUCGCUGGCAUCUGAAUUGUAUAGGGUGUUGGUGGGAACGCGGGGAAGUGAAACAUCUUAGUACCCGCAGGAAAAGAUAUUCUGUGAGUAGUGGCGAGCGAAAGCGGAUGAUGGCUAAACUGUGUGCGUGUGAUACUCGGCAGGGGUUGCGUAUGCGGGGUUGUGGGAUACAGCUUUUAAAGGAUCUGCCGGUUCUUUGUGUAGUGAUAAAACAGUGGGGCGAGGUGAAAGAUCUUGAAUGGUCUACCGGAGAGCGUGUGAGUCGUGUAGCUGGUUGUCUUGUUGUCUGCAUUGGUUGUGUCCCGAGUAGCACGGGGCUCGUGGAAUCUUGUGUGAAUCUGCCCAGACCACUGGGUAAGCCUGAAUACUUUCUGGUGACCGAUAGUGCAUAGUACCGUGAGGGAAUGGUGAAAAGUACCCCGGGAGGGGAGUGAAAUAGUACCUGAAACCGGGUGCCUACAAGCCGUUAGAGCCCUUUUUGUGGGGUGAUAGCGUGCCUUUUGAAGAAUGAGCCUGCGAGUUAGUGGUGCGUGGCGAGGUUAACCCGUUGUGGGGUAGCCGUAGCGAAAGCGAGUCUGAAUAGGGCGUUUUUUAGUCGCGUGCUCUAGACCCGAAGCGGGGUGAUCUACCCAUGGCCAGGUUGAAGCGAUGGUAAGACGUCGUGGAGGACCGAACCCACCUAGGUUGAAAACUGGGGGGAUGAGCUGUGGGUAGGGGUGAAAGGCCAAUCAAACUCCGUGAUAGCUGGUUCUCCCCGAAAUGCAUUUAGGUGCAGCGUUACAUGUUGCUUGUUGGAGGUAGAGCGACUGGUUGGUUAAUGGGCCUUCACGGGUUACUGAGAUCUGCCAAACUCCGAAUGCCAGCAAGUUUAGUGUGGCAGUGAGACUGCGGGGGAUAAGCUUCGUAGUCGAGAGGGAAACAGCCCAGACCAUCGGUUAAGGCCCCUAAGCGUGUGCUAAGUGGGAAAGGAUGUGGAGUUGCUGUGACAACCAGGAGGUUGGCUUAGAAGCAGCCAUCCUUGAAAGAGUGCGUAAUAGCUCACUGGUCAAGUGAUUCCGCGCCGACAAUGUAGCGGGGCUCAAGUACACCGCCGAAACCGUGGCGCGACAAGUUUUUGUUGUGGGUAGGGGAGCGUCCCAUUCUGGGUGAAGUCAUCGUGUGAACGGUGGUGGACGGGAUGGGAGUGAGAAUGCAGGCAUGAGUAGCGAAUGACGGGAGAGUAACCCGUCCGCUGAUUGACUAAGGGUUCCAGGGUGAAGCUAAUCUGCCCUGGGUUAGUCGGGACCUAAGGCGAGGCCGACAGGCGUAGUCGAUGGAUAACCAGUUUAUAUUCUGGUACCGGCGCAUAGCCGUCCGUGCUGAAUCGAAUGUACUAACCUCCAGGUUUCUCAUUUUUACUUUCCUUUUGGGAUUGUUUUGAUGGGUUCUUGUUGGGAUCUUGUUUGGUAGUAGGCAAGCGUGUUAACAGGGGUGACGCACAGUGGUAGCUUUCGCGUACAGAUGGUUUUGUGCGUUUAAGGCCGCAGCCUGUUUCCUAGGUUAAAUCCGGGAGACAUGUAAGGUGAGGGCUGAUGAUGACACCGUUUUGGUGGAAGUAAGUGAUCCUGUGGUGCCUAGAAAAGCCUCGACGCGAGGAUAUGUGCCGCCCGUACCCUAAACCGACACAGGUAGUCAGGUAGAGUAUACCGAGGCGAUCGAGUUAAUCAUGGUUAAGGAACUCGGCAAAAUGCCCCCGUAACUUCGGGAUAAGGGGGACCAUCCUGGUGAUAAACCCAUCGCGGUUUUGAGCUGGUGGUGGUCGCAGAGAAUUGAGAGAAGCGACUGUUUACUAAAAACACAGGUGCGUGCGAAGAUGUAAGUCGAUGUAUACGCACUGACGCCUGCCCGGUGCUGGAAGGUUAAGAGGAACGGUUAAUGCCCUUUGGGUGUGAAGCUGUGAAUUUAAGCCCCAGUAAACGGCGGUGGUAACUAUAACCAUCCUAAGGUAGCGAAAUUCCUUGUCGGGUAAGUUCCGACCUGCACGAAUGGCGUAACGACUUCUCUGCUGUCUCGACCAUGAGCUCGGCGAAAUUGCAUUACGAGUAAAGAUGCUCGUUACGCGCAGCAGGACGGAAAGACCCCGGGACCUUUACUAUAGCUUGGUAUUGGUGCUCGCUUAGGCUUGUGUAGGAUAGGUGGGAGACUUUGAAGCGGUCACGCUAGUGAUUGUGGAGUCGUUGUUGAAAUACCACUCUGGUCUAAGUGCGUUCCUAACCUUUGGUCCGUGAUCCGGGCCAGGGACAGUGCCUGGUGGGUAGUUUAACUGGGGCGGUUGCCUCCUAAAAAGUAACGGAGGCGCUCAAAGGUUCCCUCAGCCUGGUUGGUAAUCAGGUGUCGAGUGUAAGUGCACAAGGGAGCUUGACUGCGAGACUGACAGGUCGAGCAGGUGCGAAAGCAGGAACUAGUGAUCCGGCAAUGGCUUGUGGAAGCGUUGUCGCUCAACGGAUAAAAGGUACCCCGGGGAUAACAGGCUGAUCUUGCCCAAGAGUCCAUAUCGACGGCAUGGUUUGGCACCUCGAUGUCGGCUCGUCGCAUCCUGGGGCUGGAGUAGGUCCCAAGGGUUGGGCUGUUCGCCCAUUAAAGCGGUACGCGAGCUGGGUUUAGAACGUCGUGAGACAGUUCGGUCCCUAUCCGCUGCGCGCGUGUGAAACUUGAAAAGGCCUGUCCCUAGUACGAGAGGACCGGGACGGACGAACCUCUGGUGUGCCAGUUGUACUGCCAAGUGCAUGGCUGGUUAGCUACGUUCGGGAAGGAUAACCGCUGAAAGCAUCUAAGCGGGAAGCCUGCUUUAAGAUGAGGUUUCUGUUGAGGCUCCCGAUAGACUAUCGGGUUGAUAGGCCGGACGUGGAAGCAUGGUAACAUGUGGAGCUGACCGGUACUAAUAUUGCCGACAACUAACACCA
The sequence is a ribosomal RNA, 3089 nucleotides long. It matches the Rfam family "Bacterial large subunit ribosomal RNA". The record is from Rfam.